GAUGCUAGCAGUGCACCCUACUUUCUCCAGUUAUGAUGAUCAAAAAGGUCUCUAGACAUUGCCAGAUGCUCCUUGAGGGGAUAAAAUAACCCUAGUUGAGAACUACAGGGAUAGUAGAACAGUCUUUCAUCGUCAAUAAUGUGUUCAUCUCUUGAUUUUGAAGAAACUGCUUUCCUUGGUUUUCUUCCUUUAUAAUUUAUUGCUGCUUUUCUGGUUCCUGUGUCCCUGGCUACUUAAUGUGCAUACCUCUCUCCUGAACGCCACACUCUUUUAUCCAGAUAAUUAUUAGACUUCUUACUCAGAUCUCUAAUAGACAUCUCAACCUUAAUAUGUCCAAUGAACUUCUGCUUUCUGCCUUCCCCCACCUUUUGCAGCUGUUCUCAUUUUAUUGGAUGGCAAUUCUUGUUGUUCAGGCCCCAAAACUUUACAGUAUUCUCCAACUUACUUAUCUCCAAGCCCACAGCAGUCCAUUGGGAAGUGCUGCUGGCUCUACCUUUACAGUUUAUUUAGAAUCUGACCUCUAUGCUGUUUUUACCAUCUUUUCUUAAUUAGUUCACUACAGAAGCCUCCUAACUAGCCUCCCAGUUUUUGCCCUUGUGUCCUUAAUCUUUUUAUAACAGCAAUCUGAGUGAUCCUUUAAAGAUAUUAAUUCAUGUUAUUCCUCUCUUCAGAGCUCUGCAAUGACUUCUUCAUUUC
This 696-nucleotide long non-coding RNA is filed under the name Marmota monax (woodchuck). Lineage: Eukaryota; Metazoa; Chordata; Mammalia; Rodentia; Sciuridae. The record is from RNAcentral.